RNAcentral lists this ribosomal RNA (465 nucleotides) under Vreelandella stevensii. Its description in RNAcentral is "partial 16S ribosomal RNA". It matches the Rfam family "Bacterial small subunit ribosomal RNA", at positions 338 to 795 of the family's 1533-position model. The record is from RNAcentral. Lineage: Bacteria; Pseudomonadati; Pseudomonadota; Gammaproteobacteria; Oceanospirillales; Halomonadaceae.
CCUACGGGAGGCAGCAGUGGGGAAUAUUGGACAAUGGGGGGAACCCUGAUCCAGCCAUGCCGCGUGUGUGAAGAAGGCCCUCGGGUUGUAAAGCACUUUCAGUGAGGAAGAACGCCUGGUGGUUAAUACCCAUCAGGAAAGACAUCACUCACAGAAGAAGCACCGGCUAACUCCGUGCCAGCAGCCGCGGUAAUACGGAGGGUGCGAGCGUUAAUCGGAAUUACUGGGCGUAAAGCGCGCGUAGGUGGCUUGAUAAGCCGGUUGUGAAAGCCCCGGGCUCAACCUGGGAACGGCAUCCGGAACUGCCAAGCUAGAGUGCAGGAGAGGAAGGUAGAAUUCCCGGUGUAGCGGUGAAAUGCGUAGAGAUCGGGAGGAAUACCAGUGGCGAAGGCGGCCUUCUGGACUGACACUGACACUGAGGUGCGAAAGCGUGGGUAGCAAACAGGAUUAGAUACCCCAGUAGUC